RNAcentral lists this transfer RNA (72 nucleotides) under Campylobacter coli. RNAcentral describes it as "tRNA-Asp". It matches the Rfam family "tRNA". From Rfam's summary of the family: Transfer RNA (tRNA) molecules are approximately 80 nucleotides in length. Their secondary structure includes four short double-helical elements and three loops (D, anti-codon, and T loops). Lineage: Bacteria; Pseudomonadati; Campylobacterota; Epsilonproteobacteria; Campylobacterales; Campylobacteraceae. RNAcentral also lists the same sequence under 2 other names. The record is from RNAcentral.
GGUAGUUCAGCUGGUUAGAAUGCCGCCCUGUCACGGCGGAGGUCGCGGGUUCGAGCCCCGUCCGCUGCGCCA